GCUCCUCUCCUCCUCACCUCCGCCUCCUCCACCUCCGCCUCGCAUUGCUGGCCUCAGCCGCCGCCGACCAGCACAGUUCUUUGCAGAGGAUUGGUGCCUACAGCAUCUGUUGCGAAGAACCAAGAAGUGGUCAGCCUUGUCUAUUAAAAGAAGCUGUGAAAGGAAGCCAUAUCUCAUAAACCUCCUCUGCUGGGGGGUCACUGGGUCGCAGGAGAACUGGAGAUCGUUGGAGGAGCCCACAGCUCCAGGCAGAGAAAUGGGCAAGUGAAAGUGCAUCACGUGUAACGUCUGGGAACAGCGCGGAGGCAGCCAGGCAGCCAUUGCAGGGUUUUGGCACCUCGCGCGGGAAUGAGCACAUGCAGGUCAGAUUUAUAGCUAGCAGGACUGCACGAAGUCUCCUUUGUGUGCUGUGGGAACACUCAGAGGAGGACAUUAAAGUUUAUCACUGAAGUUCAGGUGCCAGGCUGCAAGAGAUAAAACCACCGAGCCACCUACCUCAUCCCUUUCCCAGACAAACCGCCCUUUGAAUAAUCUUCUUGCCUGCUCGGUCUGUUUUGAGCCCCAAAGCUGAGUACUGAAGAGGCACUGCAGGGGCUGUUGGCAGAGUUUACGCAGCAGUUCGAGCGGGGCCGGGGGGGCUGCAGGGAGCCGCAGUGGUGCCUUUGCCGGUGCCGAUAACCGGCGAUUGCCUUCCCACGCGGCCCCGCCGGGGCAGGCCGAGGUGCCGCCGCUCUGCUGCUUUCCACAACAACCUGUUCGCCCAGAAGGACAGACGGGAUCUCCCACGGCUCAGUGGGGAAGCGUCCCAGACUGCUCCUGCACGAAAAGCCUCCGCGUACGCCCCCGGGACGCGUAUCGGAGGGUGGCUGAAGUGAAAUUCAGCUCUGCUGCUUGGCCACUCGCAUCCAGGUCGGGGCAGACGUUUGGAGGACAACAUCCCUUCCCUACCCCAUGCUGCACGGGACGCAGUGUAGGGCACGUGUCCAGUAACUCUUCACCAUGGGUACAAAAAUACGGUCUUUAUUGGUUGUGAGGAGCCACAAGAGAAUUGAUAUCGCAGGAAAACCAACCUCGUCUCGCUGCUCCACCUAAAGCGAAGGUAAGGCUGCAGUCAGAAACCACAUUCACACGAAUGCUACCGGGAAGUGUGACUUACUGUAUGAGAAAUGAAUGAGUAAGAGUUUGCUGACUAAUCCCUACUUAAAGGAAAUAAAUUGAUUUAUUAUACGAGCAUGACAAAUUGAGGCACUGGUCUUGCAAGUUGGGCUGUGUGAGCAGAUCUCCGUGUCCACGUGGCUCUGAUAGGGCCCAAUAAGGCUGAGAACUGGCUGUUGUAGUUGUCAAACCGGCAGUAGAGCUGGCUCGAUAGCAAAAGUUUGGAGAGUUUGUGUUUAUGUUUGUCUGACACGCCUGAGAUUUGCCUGGGAGCCAUGGGACCUACAGCACCUAAGCUGAAGCACAAGGACAGGCAGCUGCUUUGUCAGCAGGGCAGCUUUCCCCAGUGUGCGUGCUGGUAGGAAAGCACUGCCUUUUCUGGUUUUAAACACAAACAAAUUGCUUUUAGGACCUUGGAUCUGAUGAGGGGAGUGUCACCAUGUGUCCAACACAAACAAAAAACCAAGCUGAGCCAAGAGCAGCCCGGUGCUCGUCUCCCAUUCCAUGGCUGUAACCACAAGAGACUCCUCUUGGCUUGUGUGAGAGUGGGAAGGAAUGUAAUCACCAAGCAAAAAAUGUUGCUUUUACUUGAUAGUUGAACAUUACGUAGGCAGCAGUUAUGGUUUUCUACUGAGCAUAUUCUUCUAAUACUUUUCUAUUCUGUGGAGUCAUAGACAGGCCCAUCCUUGCAGUAGAGAAAAUGAAACUGAGAUAGGGAAAAUGCAACCACUUUUUUCCCAUGACACAGAUUCAUAAAUUUUGUUGUUUUUUUUCUAAGUGGAACAUUUAUACCAAAAAGGCCAGUGUGGUGUUAAGCCAUCAACAUGAUGACUGAUGUGCUUUAUGGGGAGGGGCUACAAGUGACCGGGGCAUGCAGAGGAUAGGGGACUGGCAAGAGAAAAUGUUUAGAUGAUGGAUUUUGAUCCAGACCGAGGUGGAAGUGAGUGCAAGUCACCACAGCCUGGUAACGGGACACUGGCCUCUGUGCAGUGAGCCUGUGGGACCACGGCGGGCCUCUGCAUCCCAAUGUGGGAUGACAGCAACUGUCAGCACGGCUCGCCAGCCGUCAUCAUCAGCCGGCUCUGUGUCUGAAUGUGCUUUCCCAGCCACCACCAUAAUUUUUUCCUGCUCCAUGGCUUGAAUAUUUUGGGAAGGAGGUAGGAAAAAGGAAGCCAGCCAUAUAUGAUGAUUGUACAAUCAAGGGUUGAUUUUGAGUUUCCGGUUGGAGCAAUAAUGGACUACUGUUAGAAAUCUGGUUCAGUUAAGUAUGUUCUGGCAGACACAGCUUUAAGUAUAGAUGCAAAGUCCAGUUUGACUUUGUCAAGAUGUACGCGCACCCUUAACUUCAAAGAUAUAAAUUUUCCCACUGACUUCCCUGGAACUAUUCAUGCAUUAAAAAUAUGCAUGAGCCGUUCUAGAAAUAGGGAAUAUAAAUGAGACUACCAAAAUAGUUAACCAGAAAUACUUUCUGUACAAUGAAAUAGGAAAAUUUACAAGGGGAGUGCACAUAGGAUCUCUUGGGAAUAGAUAAGGUCUAGGCCACAUUGCUAAAGGACAAGGCAUUGUUGCUUACAUAGGAGAGGGUGUUUCCAGCUACCUGUAGUGCAGACUAGAGUGCAGUUUGCAUUCGUUACCCUAAUUAAGCACUUUACUGGAAUUUAGCAUGUGGUGGAUUGGCAGGAGGCAACUUUAACUUGGGCUGUGCGGCCGAGAUCCUUUCAUUGCGCUGACAACCCUGAGUCCUGCCAGCAGAGCAGCACACUCGGUAGUGCCUUUCUGUUGGUGGCUUCUGUGCAAAGUCAGACUUAAACAAAGAGAACUGAUAAUAAAUGAACAAGAUGUACAUUACCUAAGCAGUCUGUUGUGGGCAAGAUAGCCAGAGUCUGGUGAUAAGUAAUGAGUUAUCAUUCAAGGAGUAGCUUCUCUGGACUAAUAUGACUUCUUCUAUUAGCUAUUACCCUCUAAUUAUUUUAUCUGGUUUAUAUUCACAUUGAAAAUGUUUCUAUUUUUAUUGUCUGUAUCUGCUUCUUCACAUUGUUUCAAGUUUGUUUCUCUUGAUAGGUUUAUUGUUUAGCCUAUGCUGGCGUCAUUAGCAUUUAAAUCUUUAAGUUGUUCUGGAGUUGCCAUGGCCUAUGUUUGUGAAUGUUAGCUGCACAAACUUCCAGCAAAUAAGCUUUGUUGUGACUUGAGCUAGUGGUUGGAGAUGAACAUGAACCCAGCCUACAGCACUACAAAUACAUUUUGUGGCUGAAGGCCGCUUGUUUUUGCAAAGCUGCACUAUACUCAAGCCUUUUAGACUUGUGUUUGCUAAAGCAUCUUGAAUCAGACCUUUAAGGUCUGCUGUUCUGUGGCAGAAGUUUUGGCAAGCUGCAUUCUCAACUAUCUUCUAUGUUUCCUUUCAUGCAUUAAAAACGGAUUCUUGAACAAGGCUGUCAGCUCAACGUCUACAAAAAGGCAACUCGUUAUUCAGGAGUAGUUCAGGCUUUUACACAGUUGCGUAGGCUGGAGGGGGGUUUGGUUCUUUGGAUCAAGACUACACUCUGACCUCUCUUUUCUCCUGUACUCAAAACCUAAUGCCACCCUACCCAGGAUAAUCAGGAUCUGCUUUUGAGUAUCAAGACCAGUGAACUGGUGGGAAGGAAACCUGUGGGGAAACAAGGCGAGUCCAAAAUGAGAUGAGGCUCCAGUCUCUGCCUGUAUUUAUUCUGGUGUACAGGGGGCUUCUUUGGGCAAGGGGAGAUUCACUGCUCUGAGCUUUGGCACACUGUUCCAGCCAGGGGUGAAAUCUGGGACGGGAGACCACAGUGUAAGAGAAUGUACCUUGCAUUCAGUUUUCAUGAAACAUGCUGGAGCUAAAGGAUUUCUCCAUUCCCUUCGAAUGUUCUAUUUCAUACCGCGAUGGCUUUGCAAGAUGAAAUGCCUUCAGUCCUAUCUAUGUGUUGCUGUUGCUCACAAGAAUCCUAGAAGCAGCUGGCUGUAUUGUUUAGUCUGUGGCUGAAUUAACAUUUUAGUUUUAGUACAUCCUACCCUGUAAUUGUUCUGAAUGGGUUUUGGAAAGAGUCUGAAAACCUACCUGCUGCCCACAAAUAAUGGUUUUGGCUUUAAAUAAAGGACAGGACAACAGUGACACUGAAAUCCUCCGGAGCAGAGAUUAGCCAGUCACCGAUUCUAAAUGCUGGGAACUCAUUUUGAACUUUUACACUGGUAUUUGGUGAUUUCUUAUCCUGACAGAAAGCACUUUCAUUUGUGCUACCUUUAUUUUCCUAGAAGCUAGACCUUGCUCCUGGAGAAAACAGGUUGAAGGAUCAAAAGAUCUAGAAAAUCAGCGUUGUUCUGUGUCUGCAUGUUUCCAUUUCAGGCUCUAACUCAGCUGUGCUGUAUAUGGAAAAGUGCAAAUUCAGAAGGAAUAGUUCAAAGUUUUACUCUUGGCUUUCAGAUGCUGUGAAAUUCUGUUCUCUUUCUAGCCAGUGCAUUCAUUUAAAUACCUCUCUGUAGCUCCACCUGCACUCUCAUCUAGUACUCCCUCCUACUUCUCCCAUUGCCCGUGAGAGCUUUGAUCAGUCCCUGAGCAGAACAGCACUCUUGUGUAUUGCACAGUCCAAACUGGAGUGUGGCUUCAGCCCAGAAAAGAAACCCAGAGACUGUGUCCCUUUCUUGCCUUUUGCCUCUCAAAUCUCCUGUGGGUAGGAUACCACACACACUAUAUGACUUACCAGAAAAGGAAGUAUUGGGAAAUUUUGUUUCCUGGAAGAGAUAUCAGUAGUGGCAAUAAAACCCAAACAAACACGAAAAUAAAAGCCUGUUUUGAAGUCUCUGGUAUGCUGCUCUGCCUCGUUAACAUUCAGUUCAUGGCCAAUACUGCCAGGGUUGGGUAAAAUGUCACCAAAACCAGUAGCUACAACCCCUGUCCUUCAUUCAGAGCAGCAAAUCCACUUGAGUUUCUUUACAAAACAAAAGUGAUUCCAACACAAAGCGCAGGCAUGAGAUCCCGCCAGAGCAGAGCCACGUGUAGAGCUAAGGGAUUUCAUGAGUAUGAGAGAAAGGGGUUUACGUGGGGGUUUCUGUACUCCAGGACAGUGGUUAGGAGUCGCCACCACCACGUCCUGUGCUCUGGAGAGGAGACGCCUGCUCUCCCCGUGCCGGGAGGAAGGUUUCUCCAGGCGCCUCCAGGGCAGACGCGCCUUGGGGCUGUGCUGCUGGGGGCCGGUCACUGGGGUGACCUGCGGACGGGACGUCACCGGGAGAUGAUCUGCAACCAGCAAAGACCUGAGAAAUGUUGGAAAUUCCCGUUCCCACCGCUGAGGACGGCUGAUUGGCUGCUGUGGCGAGCAUGAUGAAAAUCAGGCACGUUAGGAUUAACUUUCUGAGUCCAGGGGAGUCUCACUUACUCCCCCACCGUGGUGGGAGAUGAAACCUUUCCUGAGCAUUUAGCAGCCAGCAGUGUGCUCGGGAAGCCGAGCAGCGCAUCACGGACACUCUCUGGCAGGCACCAGGCAGCUGAGCCCUGCCUGCCUCCAGCUAGCACCGACUGCGGGUUCAUUUAACCACACCUGCGGGAGUGAAGGAGAAAGUUCAGCCAGUUGUUAAGAUGCUUAUGGCAUCCCACAGGACAUUUCCACAAAAUCGACAACUGUGCUAGCAAAUGCUUUUGUGCAUCUGCUCAGAGGGACAGGGAUGUUUAAGUUAUCAUCCUCAGCCAGGGACUUCAGGCUUAAUGCUCAGAGCUUGUGCAGGCCGUAUCAAUGGGAAGGGUUGCUUAGCGUCAACCUGCACAGCUUGUUGUGAACAGGACUGCAGAAUAAUCUUAUUUUGAACGCCUCCAUGGAUUUUAAAGACAGCGAGCCCUUUCCUUUAACUGCAUGGGCUAUUCAAAUACCUGGCUCUACUGGCUUCUGUAACUUCAUUGCCUAUGCAACCGAUCUGUAUCAUUUGCUCAGGGUAUUCAUAAAUUUUAUUAGUAGCAUCAUUUUUUUUUUUUUUCUGAUGGGUGAAAACACAAGCACCUGUAUAAUUUCACAAAACGUGAAAUUGUCAGAAAAGUGCUACUGAUACGUAUGGUAAUUGAAGUGCAAACAGUGGCAGUAGCGUCACUGCAGAACCACAAAGUUAAGGCUUUAAAAUAAAGGAUGAGGGAAAGUUCAGUCAUGACCUUGUAAGUGAAAGCUCCCCACCAUGGGGCAAGACUGCUCAGCAGCCGUGGGGACAGGGUGGCCUCCUACAGCCUCCCGCUGCCCAGGAGGGCUUGAACUGUGUCCCCUCCCCAGCUGGAAGGAGCUGUGACAGCAGCUUCCAGUGGCAACGGCUGUUCCCACCGGGACACGCUCAGAGAGUUCCGAGGAGCAGAGCAGCAGCUCCGGUGCUCUGUCCUCUCCACCUCUUCACGGUGGCCAGUGGCUGCUCCUGCACCCUCCUGACCACUUUAGAGCCUGUUUGCUGUUUCCAGCUAAGCCAUUCCUCGCCACUGUGGGCAUUUUUCUACAGGCUCUCAAGUGAAACAGCCCUUUGCCUGCCAACUUUUGAUAACCAUAUGGCUUUCCUUUUUUCUCAUGCUUUAGCAAAGCCUUGAGGAGUUCCCCAAACAGCCUUCCCCCUUCUCUACCCCUUUCCCUCUCACUGCCCUACUCAAUCUGCGCAGUAGUUAACACCCAGCUUCUGGAUGGUUUGCCUGCAUGAGUUGAUAGCCUGGCUGGAAAUUAAUAAGCUCUUAUUCAUUAUUCAGCUUCGCAACAGACAAUUUUUAUAAAAUAUUCUUCACAGUUUUAUAUCCCAGAGCCUCUUCCCGAUUGUGGCAUAGCUCUACUUUGGAGACUCUUUCCCGCCUGCCCUUCCACACAUUUUGAACCUGGAGCAGGAGAAAUCUCCAUCAUUUCAGGGGUGGCCUCAGGUGCCUGAGACAAGCUGGCUUGUUCCUCCAUGGCACUGCAUUUCACAUCCGUGAGGCAGUAGGUGAUCAGCCUUCAGAUUAGCUGUGCAGGGAACUUGUUGAAGUCCACUUAAGAAAUGUCAUACUUGCACUGCUACGGCCAAUACAUUCAUUGGAGGGCACGACCCUAUCGAUGAACCAAACCAGUAAAAGCGUGCUGCUUUUUGAGGGAGGCUAAGGCAAACCCAGCAAGUGACACACUGCUGGAAUUCUCUAGACUAAAACCUCCUGAUGUUGUGCAGCUGGAAUGGCACAGCUGCCACUGUGCAAAGCAGCGAGAAGGUUCUCCUGACCUUAUGAUUUUGGGGACAUGCUAGAGUAAUUUCUGUGCCUAAAAAUUCCACUUUAUAGUCCCUGGGAAGAUGUUUGUUUGUUUUUUGGUUCUGACAAUGCCAUUUUAUAGCAAGUUGUGGGUCCCUCUGGGACUAAUCUUACUUAUGCCUUGUAAAUUGUCGGGUGCCAUGCGGUGCCUUGUUUACUUCUGCAAUUGUUCUUUACUAGAUCAGAAAAACACUCUGUUAAUAUUUUGCAAGCCAAAAGCAGCUUCAGAGUUGUUAAAACUGCCUGAGAUUCUACUGAGCAGAAACCAACCUGCUUUGAUGAGAUCUCCACUACCUACACUGAUUUUCUAAAUCCAUUCAUUGCAUGGCCCAAAUACGGCAUAGAUUUGUUACAUGACUGUGGGAUAAUACUUGGAAGUUGUGCACUUCUGUGAAAAAGGAUUGUUUGUUGAACACAGUGAACGCAGAGCACAAGAGCCUGGGGGUCAGCGGGGGGCUCAGAGACGGCCCUACUGAAGUGCUGACCGAGUCUGGAAGAUGGGUUUGCAGUUGGAGGUCUGGCUGUUCAAAAGCUGUGGACUUGCUAUUGCAUUUUCACUGAGCAGUGUCAUCAUACUGGAUACGCAAACUGUUACAGUUGGAAAGUGUGGCUCAAGCUUGCCCCGCCAGAUGACAAUGCCCAAUCUACCAACACCCACAGUAUCACUCGCGUCCAGUAAAGGCAAAUGCGAUGAUGUUUAUUGAUCUCUGCAGCACUGCUGUUUGUAUUAUGGAGGAGGAGGAGGCUGAGAGUCCAUGGAGCAGUUGGGCUGAAGACAGAACUGUCAGUAAUGGAGUUUGAGCAGAGCUUUUGAGAUGCACUUCAGAGGCAGUACUGCCCACCAUAGCGUGGUCUUCUCACUCAGCAGUAUGAUGAAGUAGAGGAGUAUGCAGAUAAUGUAAGUCAAAAAUCCUAUUUGCCCCUUCACAGUAUGGACAGUUGGUAAGGGAGGCAAAGAGUUUGCUCCUUGACCUUCGCCAGACCACCUUCGAGGCCUUGAUGUCCAUCUGCCACCACCAGGAACCUCAUGGCCUUGCCUGGCCUCUUUUUGUAGCAACAGCCUAAAAAUCUUGUCCAUCUUACACUCAAAACACAAGAUUUCUUCUCUCUUACAUCUCCCUGGAGGGCUAGGAGGUCUUUAGUACAGGCCCAGCUACAUGUACGAGAAAGAAGCCUGGCAAAUGGUUUAAACUAAAAACUAUAGCAGUUGUGCCAACUCCUGCAGUAUGAGAGAGCCAAGAUCCAGAACGUGGCUCUUCACCAGCAUGUGGCAAGGCGGUGACAUCUUGUCGCUGCCAUCCCUGAGCACGGAGGCCCACACAGGUACACCGGGCAGUUGGCUGGGGCAGGAUGCAAUGCAGUGCGGGAAAGCGGAGGGAAGACUGCCAGACUUUUCCCAAGGCAAGUCACAGCUACGUUUCUUCAAAAUCAUCUACUCCAGUGUGACAUUACUCCCGAUCGCAAAUAGAAGGAAGUCUCCAAAGCUAUUUACCAGUUGCCCUGAUGUGUCACAGGGGUGCGAUUUUUUCUAUUCGGAUAUCCCAGUCUGCACUGGUAGGAAGGGUUAUAAACUCUCAGCAAAGGAGAAAACUAUCCACUUCCAGUAAAGCACAGUCCUGACAGAAAGCUGUGAGAGUGCUUUUGGAGCUAAGUGCUGACUGCUGGGAAGAUGCCUAGAGCUGCAGGGAAAACAAAAACAAAACCAACCAACCAACCAAAAACAGAAAAAAGAGAAGUCUGUUUCUACAUUUAAUUCCUCCUGGGUCCAGAGAAGCAGAGUUUUAUAUCUUCAUUAUAAAUAAGUUAUACAGCAUCUACAGAGUGGAAUCCAUCACCAGUUUCAUCCCUUGGUGGGAAGAAUCUGCAGGUCAACUAUGGUCAACUUUAUAUCUGAAAGCUUUACCAUGCUAGACGUGUUAGUUAACAGUUCAAGAACCCUUCUGUCGUGCUACACACCAUUCAUAGCUCAGUGCCAUCCUGCUGUCGUCUUUCAGGCACAGGGCUAGCCAGACCUUUUAUUUCAGAGACUGCUGCAGGGCAUCAGAAUUUUGUGUCAAGAAGGUCAUGCAGAUGCAUUGUACUGAUGCUCCUUUCCCAGUCUGAAAGUUUCUUUCACAGCCAAAACUUCGCAGCUCUUCCAGUGUUUCCCCUUCUUCACAAAAUACCAAGUCCCAUGCUACUGUAUAGUUGUUGGACAUGUUAAAACUGUGAGCAGCUUUUACACAGGUGAGGACUUCCUACACAAGUUCAAGCUUGGUGGCAUGGCAUGGCUUUCUCCUGAGGUGGGUAUUAAGCUUGGCGUAAGGCUUGCUGAUUGCAAAAUGACGUUGCCCAUUGCUCUGGUAUAGCUGCGUAUCAGAACUACAUUUAAAUAAAGAAGUUCAAGAGACAGUUAUUGCCACAGCAAAUAACUAAAAUGACAUGUUACUCUUCAGGACAUGGUCCAAGACUUAUGUCCAGUAGCCAUCGAAACGGUAUUGUCCUCAGCCUUUGUCCAUUAGUCUCCAGUAAAAAUACAAUUGCAGGUAUGUUUCCACAGAAGAACCUUUAUCUUCUGCCAUUUCCAAACAAUACGGAAAAUUAAGUGGCUGGAAUCAGUUAUGUAAGAAAAAGGAAACUUGAAUUUAAUGUGCAAGUACAAACUUAAACCAAGCAAACUGUUAUUUGUAUUUUAUUUCUCUAUAAAAAAGUCUAGGAACACAAAAAACAUUCUGCUGAAUAUAAAAAUAUUUUCUCUCCAGGUGUUCAUAGACAUACUGCUUUAUUUAAAAAUAAAAAUAAAACCUGCAAAAUACUUUGAUUUGGUUUUGCUAAAAAGCUCUCUCGCUAUAAAAAGGAUGGGGAAAAAGGGUGAACUUGUUCCUCUUUAUUUCAAGCUUGCUGCUUUAAUUUGAUGUUGCAUAUGAAGCAACAAACAAAAAUUCUAAGGAAUGUAAAAAGUUCCUAUGCCUACAAAAGCCUUAAGAAUACAACACCGAGCUGAAGAACAAUGACACCGACACGAAAGGAUUUUCAUUUCUAAGAAAUACCUGGAUAAAUGAGAGUUUAGGAAUACAUGCAUUCUAUCCUCAAUGAUGUGCAGCGGCACUUGUCUUUUGCAGGGCUGGUUUCCAGCGGCACAGACCUACCAACCCAAAACGCGCUUCCUCCCUGGGGGCCUGGGCUGCGGCAGCACAGCCCACACCAGGAGAGACAGAGGGCUGGAGGCUGGCUGGUAACUUAGGUCUAGGUGAAAGAAAAUUUGGAUUUAAUAUUACACACCAAAUAUGAUGCUACAUUUAAUAUACUGUUCCUAGCUCGUGAGGAGAAACUGCAUUCUGCACUAACUACAAUUUCUACAUCGCUUUAAUGGAGAAAAUUCUCCAGGAAAAAAAUGGUAAAACCCAUUUUUAAUACCCACAGUUCAUUAAGGUACAAACAAAAUUGCUGCUUCCCAGGUUCUUUAUCACUGCAUCCUUCUUAGACCUGUAUCCUAAAGGUUAAUUUUUCCAAAUGGCCUAAUUUUGGCAGAGGAUAAGGUCCGUGCACUCUCAGCUUGCAUACUGCCUAUCCCUCCUGCAAACUUAGAGAUAUGCAGAUGCUCAGCAUCUCUGAAAGUUAGGCUUGCAAUACAUCUAAAACAAAUAUGCAGAACAUGAAUAUUACAAUUACGAGAGAAUUAAAAAAAUCUGUCUGCAUUCAAAGUAAAAAUAAAACUGGGAAAUUUCAAAAUUUCCUGAGGUGCUCUUUUUGAUCAAUUAGAACUUUGGCUUCAUUUCAAUUUUGGCAUUUCUUUUAUAGUACAAUAGAAAAUAUAAACUACAUUGCGAAUAAUAUAAAAGCUUUUUUUCCAGACGGGAAUGCUGGAACGUUUCCAUUGUUUUUUUUUCUCAAACGUAUUUUUUAGUAAGUAUGAUUUUAUGAAGCAGUUAAUCUUCAGUGGAGCUAUAUGCUCCAACAGAAAAGGGGGACUGUUGUUUUCUUUGUAGUAGAAAUUAUGUAGUUCUAUAAUUUUCACAUUUACAAGUUCUAUCAUUCCAUCUGAAUCUUCCCAUUUUUUUUAAUAAAAAUUAAAGUAUGCCCUUUGUAAUAAUUCCCAGUGGGAGUGUCUACUCAUAUUAAGCCAUCUAACUUGGGUCUGGUCUAGGCUGAAUGAUUAAGUUGUAUGUUUUUCAUGUAUUUGUGUACUUAUGCAAGUUCUGAAAUAAAAUAAAUAUUGCUGUUGAUGGAAGAGAAAGCACAAAUUAAACGACAGUCUGUAAGAUCAUCACCUCUGCAGAGACAUCAAAAAGGCAAAGUUCUCUCAUGUGUCACAGUAAAAGACCUGGUGGUGUGAAGAAGUGCCCAGAUGGAAGGUUUAAAAUAAGAGGGGUAAAAAAGAGGAAGUUUUCCCACAGAACAAAUAAUUAAACUGAACUCAUUGUGAAAAAAUAUGAUGGAACCCCAGAGGGUAAGUUAAAAAUGGAUUGGAUGAAUUCAUGGAGGACAGGCUUGAUCAGUGUCCAUCAAACACGGGUCCGACCACACGCUCUGGCCAGCAGCUCCCCAAGGCCCAAGCUGAGGAGGCCGUGCCAGUGAAAACGGGUUAUUCUCACACUCCUCCCAAAACCUUUGGUACUGGCUGUGGUUAAAGGCAGGACACUCAUUGUCUUUGCAAAACCCCAGCUGAAUUCUAUAAACAACAGUAUAGAUCCAUGCUCCCCACUCUAUAUAGACAAGUCUGGGUAUUCAAGCUGAACUGCUUGAUUAGUUCAAGGGGGAUCUAGGGGAUCCAGAUAUACAUUCAGCUUGAAAAAGCUGGCUUCAGAAGUCAGGGAAUUAAAAGGUAGGUGUCUCAAGAGUUUUUUAAGCAUCUUCCUCAAAAAGAUACUAUGCUAGAUACUUCUUCUUAAUAUGCAUUUUUGUUAAUAAUCUGUUCGAUCUAAACUAUAAUACGUGCUGUGCAACAUGACUGAACGAAUAUUGCUGUGAGAAAUAUUUUCCCCUUGUUUGAGUAAUUUAAAUUUGUAAGCUAAUGUAAGUUUUUGUAUUAAAUAAUGUACUAUGUGGAGUUUUCUUUCUUGUAAAGCACUUUGAAGCUUUCAAAGGGCACUCUAGGUUAAUAAAUAAUAUGGUAUUCUUUGCCAGAACUGUAGGGCAUUUCCCAUAAGUUCUGAAUCUUCUUUGCCAGAAUUACAACAUGUUGCAUGCCAAAUCCUGCACACAAAUGUUCUACAUGUGGCAAAUACAUAUUGGUAAAGACCAGA
Long non-coding RNA from Tyto alba (common barn owl), 12624 nucleotides. RefSeq lists it as uncharacterized. NCBI's taxonomy places the organism in Eukaryota, Metazoa, Chordata, Aves, Strigiformes, Tytonidae. The record is from RefSeq and is a predicted model, not a curated record. The transcript is spliced from 5 exons.